RNAcentral lists this ribosomal RNA (253 nucleotides) under uncultured bacterium. RNAcentral describes it as "partial 16S ribosomal RNA". It matches the Rfam family "Bacterial small subunit ribosomal RNA", at positions 524 to 776 of the family's 1533-position model. The record is from RNAcentral.
UACGGAGAGUGCGAACGUUGUUCGGAUUCACUGGGCGUAAAGGGCACGUAGGCGGCCUGGCAAAUCAGUCGUGGAAUCCCGACGCUUACCGUCGGAACGGCGGCUGAAAAUACCAGGCUUGAGGGCGUGAGGGGUCACUGGAACUCCCGGUGAAGCGGUGAAAUGCGUAGAUAUCGGAAGGAACGUCAAUGGCGAAGGCAGCCACCUGGCACAAUACUGACGCUGAGGCGCGAAAGCGUGGGGAGCAAACAGG